Molecule: long non-coding RNA, 3334 nt
Organism: Gasterosteus aculeatus aculeatus (three-spined stickleback)
Lineage: Eukaryota; Metazoa; Chordata; Actinopteri; Perciformes; Gasterosteidae
Source: Ensembl
GGUGAUAAGGAUCUGAUGUUCUUUGGAGAUGGUAUCCUCCAGUUGUUGGAUCCUAGAGAUCAGGCACAACUCAGUGAAAUCACUGAUUGUGACCAUCUCGUGGUGGGUCUCCUCUUGGCUCUUUAUUAAAGCAGCCAGAGAAUCCCUCUGUGUCUUCAGCAGUUUGUGUUCUGCUUCCAACUGCUGCCAGGUCUGGUUGUUGACCGUGAGUUCAGCACUUUUGACAGAAAGUUGUUUUGUGGUCUCGGUGAGCUUCAGAGAUAAACCCUCGUUCUCCCUGAUAGUCUCAUCCAGAGCCUCUGUCUUGAUCUUCAGCAGUUUGUGUUCUGCUUCCAACUGUUGGUUGUUGGCCUGCUGCUUGUGCAGCUUCUCUUGAAGAGAAAUGUUGGUGGAGAGUAACCCUGUUACUUUAGACUCCAAUGACUGUUGUUGGUCAUCCAGUUUCUUGGUUGUCUUUUUCUCCAGAUCUUCAUAUUUCUGCUGCCAGGUCUGGUUGUUGACCGUGAGUUCAGCACUUUUGACAGAAAGUUGUUUUGUGGUCUCGGUGACCUUCAGAGAUAAACCCUCGUUCUCCCUGAUAAGGUCUGAAAACCUCUUUCUGUUCUUGUCAACCAUCUGCUCAUAGGCAAGAUCUUUGCCUUUUAACAUGUUGGUCAAUUCGAACUUCACAGUUUCAGUGUGAGCGGUGAGUUCGCUCACUUGCCUUUUCAGGCAGUGCACUUCAUUCCGUGCAUGAGAAAGUGCAAUGUUCACAUUGUAUCCGGUGGGAGGAGUCCCGAGAAGUGAAGCGCCAGCUCCAAUUCUCUGGUUGUUUCUACGGUACAUGUUAAAUGACACUUGUGUAGUCUUGAAAAAGACUGUUGGUCAGCCCUGAAAAGGGGUGUAGUCUUGAAAAAGACUUGUUUUAUUUGUCGCUAAAUGACUCGAUGUAACCUCUGAAAGAUGGUGAUGAAUCUUCCAAAAAACUACUUAAGUCUGUAAAGGACAAAUAUCGCAGAUACUUUCAAGAGAAAAUAUCCAACUGCACUCUUCUGGAACCAGAAACGCAAUGAUCUAGUGUUCCGAGACACAUCAAAGGAGUUGUUGAUGAUGUCACAAUUUGGAGUCCACUCUAUGACACGGGCUGCGUUUCCCUGACAACGGAAUGCAAAAUACAACAAAACUCACUUUGUGUGGUUUUUAUACAUACACAACGUGAUGAUGCCGAUAUAUAAAGUCUCAUUCACCUCUGUUUCUUCCUGCACCGUGAUGCCCAUUUCUGAACCACGUUUUGGAUGAAGAAGCACUGAUAUUGAGUGAUACAGAUCAGACCAGCAUGAAGCACCUCACCAUCCCUUACACAUGCUCCGUAUGGCGCGGCAUGUCUUUAUAUGCCGAACCUGUAAAUAAAGGCACUAUUUGCCGUACUGUCAGAAGUGUGUGUUUGGCGCUGAAGUCCAUCUUUAUUACCUUCCCUGGCCCCAGAAGAAUGUGUCACAUCAAAGAAGAUUUCCACAAGACACUCCACAUAUUCCGUGUAAAUGGGUGAUUGUGUUUGAUGUUGUGAGAUGCAUGUAAUGGUAAAAUAUGUUAAAACAUUGUCUUGCGCUAAACCCGGGUCUCAAGUGUAUUUGAGCCUGACGUGCAAAGAGCAGCAAAUACUACACACACUGUUAUAGUGUAAAUACUGUAAAUACUACACACACUGUUAUAGUGUAAAUACUACACACACUGUUAUAGUGUAAAUACUGUAAAUACUACACACACUGUUAUAGUGUAAAUACUACACACACUGUUAUAGUGUAAACACUGUAAAUACUACACACACUGUUAUAGUGUAAAUACUACACACACUGUUAUAGUGUAAAUACUGUAAAUACUACACACACUGUUAUAGUGUAAAUACUACACACACUUUUCUACAUUAGACACAGACAUUUUGAAUUAUGUCACUUUAUUGCCUUUUUUAGACGCUGCCUUGAAAAUAGCCGCACAUGAACACAUUGAUCAAACCGGGUCGGGUGUGUGAUGGUAAACAUGCCAAUCAGGUGUAAACACUUUACAAAGGCAGCGGCAAAAUUGCCAGUGUCAAUACAACACUUAAAGAGUCAAUUUUAACACUACCUCAGUGAACAUAUGGUCCCUAUCGACACAGAGUGUAAAAUGUACACUGAACACAGAGUUAAAUUUCCAGAGUCAAUUUUACUCUGGUAAGAGUUAAAAUGUGACACUAGGUGCAGUGUAGUGUAAUAAUAUUAACUCUAAGAAGUGUCAAUCAAGUUUUACACUAUGUAAGAAGUAACACCCAUAGUGUUAUUCACAUGUAACACUAAAUAGUUAUAAAAGAAAUAACCUUUCCAGUGUUAAACCUACUUUACACUAUGUUGAUUAUGAAAUCACUCCAAAGAGUGUUGAUUUUUAACCAACUCCUACCAGUGUUGCAUAUCUAUGCAGGGGGAAAAACACACAGACAAUUGUAUCCAUACUGUAAUACAUAUUUAUUCCAAGUAAACAUGAAAUAUUGGCAUCAAAAGUAAACCUAAAACAUGUAAAGCUCACAUCUUAUCACAGUGGCAAAGAUCUUGGUUGGUGCUGGAUGACAGGAAUGUUUUGAUCAACAUGAUGGUAUCUGCAAAGACAGCAAACUGAAAUCAACAUUAUGGUCUACAACCCCAUACAAGCUGACAACCUGAAAAUACCCUAUUUCAGCUUUAAAAAUCACAAACACAACUACAUUUUCGGUCAAGUACAUCAACUUAUUACUUACCACCAGAGCACCACAGUACAUUAAAGAACAAUCUGAAAGAAAAAAGAAAAUAUACAUAUUAAGUAACUACGUAACUACGUAGACCCCUCCGCCGUAGCCUGACGUGCACCUCCGAAAAGAUCAAACUGCGAGUCGAGUUGACGUAGACCGCAAGUGCUGUGAUUGGUCCGCUCAGAACGUAAUUUGCGGCAGUUGCUGACAUUCGAAAGUAUCGAAAGUGCACUUGCUCGUCCAGGUCCCUCAGUGGGUGAACCAGUGUUGUAAAUUCACGCUUCUCCGUAGCCUGCGCUUCAAUAUGAGCUUCGGCUCACCAAGGAUUCGGCACCCGCAGAAACACACAGCCACACCCGCCGCCGCCGUAACGUGGAAGCAUAAAUUAAGCUUACAGCAGCUACAGCCAUAGACAUAAAGAAUAGACAUCGACCGCUGCUGCCUAGUGGUGCUGACGAGCCGCGGGGCCGCCAACUUGGACCGGUCACCCGCUCCACUCAGUGCCAGCUGGCGCAACGAAGUGUCAGCGCGUCACUCGCUGAAUACAAAAGCGGAUGUUCACGGGAUUUUGUAGGCAUGACACCGAAAACAUGAUUC